AUGCUAGUUCGUCAGAUGGUGCGGAAGCUGCAUAAGAGGAAGACAAAAUGGAUGCUGCUCAAGCUGGAUAUCUCUAGGGCUUUCAACUCGCUUUCAUGGACAUUCCUCUUCGAGGUGUUGCGUGCCAAAGGUUUCUCAAAUAGGUGGUGGUCCUGUAUAGCAACUCUACUUUAUACUGCCAGCUCUCGCGUGGUCGUCAAUGGUGCAGCAGGGAAGAAAUUCAUGCAUGCUUGCAGGCUUAGACAGGGAGAUUCAAUCUCGCCCCUGUUGUUAGUCAUCGCAAUGGACGUUCUCACUACAAUCUUCAUCAAAGUGCAUGAUGCACAGAUGCUCAGUAAAUUGAAUGGAUGUGGGCCUACUUAG
Molecule: ribosomal RNA, 363 nt
Filed under: Triticum aestivum (bread wheat)
Lineage: Eukaryota; Viridiplantae; Streptophyta; Magnoliopsida; Poales; Poaceae
Description: partial small subunit ribosomal RNA
Source: RNAcentral